RNAcentral lists this ribosomal RNA (287 nucleotides) under Pseudo-nitzschia pungens. RNAcentral describes it as "partial Bacterial small subunit ribosomal RNA". It matches the Rfam family "Bacterial small subunit ribosomal RNA", at positions 767 to 1056 of the family's 1533-position model. The record is from RNAcentral. Lineage: Eukaryota; Bacillariophyta; Bacillariophyceae; Bacillariales; Bacillariaceae.
AGCAAACAGGAUUAGAUACCCUGGUAGUCCACGCCGUAAACGAUGGAUACUAGCUGUUCGGACUUCGGUCUGAGCGGCCAAGCGAAAGUGAUAAGUAUCCCACCUGGGGAGUACGUUCGCAAGAAUGAAACUCAAAGGAAUUGACGGGGGCCCGCACAAGCGGUGGAGCAUGUGGUUUAAUUCGAUGCAACGCGAAGAACCUUACCUACUCUUGACAUACUAGAAGCUUUUCAGAGAUGAAUUGGUGCCUUCGGGAAUCUAGAUACAGGUGCUGCAUGGCUGUCGUC